AGAUUGAACGCUGGCGGCAGGCUUAACACAUGCAAGUCGAGCGGUAACAUUUCUAGCUUGCUAGAAGAUGACGAGCGGCGGACGGGUGAGUAAUGCUUGGGAAUAUGCCUUAUGGUGGGGGACAACAGUUGGAAACGACUGCUAAUACCGCAUAACGUCUACGGACCAAAGGAGGGGAUCUUCGGACCUUUCGCCAUUUGAUUAGCCCAAGUGAGAUUAGCUAGUAGGUGAGGUAAAGGCUCACCUAGGCGACGAUCUCUAGCUGGUUUGAGAGGAUGAUCAGCCACACUGGGACUGAGACACGGCCCAGACUCCUACGGGAGGCAGCAGUGGGGAAUAUUGCACAAUGGGCGAAAGCCUGAUGCAGCCAUGCCGCGUGUGUGAAGAAGGCCUUCGGGUUGUAAAGCACUUUCAGUUGUGAGGAAAGGGAUGUAGUUAAUAACUGCAUUCUGUGACGUUAACAACAGAAGAAGCACCGGCUAACUUCGUGCCAGCAGCCGCGGUAAUACGAGGGGUGCAAGCGUUAAUCGGAAUUACUGGGCGUAAAGCGUUCGUAGGCGGUCUAUUAAGCAAGAUGUGAAAGCCCAGGGCUCAACCUUGGAACUGCAUUUUGAACUGGUAGACUAGAGUACUGUAGAGGGUGGUGGAAUUUCCAGUGUAGCGGUGAAAUGCGUAGAGAUUGGAAGGAACAUCAGUGGCGAAGGCGGCCACCUGGACAGAUACUGACGCUGAGGAACGAAAGCGUGGGGAGCGAACAGGAUUAGAUACCCUGGUAGUCCACGCCGUAAACGAUGUCAACUAGCCGUUCGUAGACUUGAUCUGUGAGUGGCGCAGCUAACGCACUAAGUUGACCGCCUGGGGAGUACGGCCGCAAGGUUA
Molecule: ribosomal RNA, 879 nt
Filed under: uncultured bacterium
Lineage: Bacteria
Description: bacterial SSU rRNA
Rfam family: Bacterial small subunit ribosomal RNA
Source: RNAcentral